RNAcentral lists this ribosomal RNA (479 nucleotides) under uncultured bacterium. RNAcentral's name for it is "partial 16S ribosomal RNA". It matches the Rfam family "Bacterial small subunit ribosomal RNA", at positions 28 to 507 of the family's 1533-position model. The record is from RNAcentral.
GAUGAACGCUGGCGGCGUGCUUAACACAUGCAAGUCGAGCGAGAAGUUUUGAAAAGAUUCUUCUGAUGAAAUUGAAAAUGGAAAGCGGCGGACGGGUGAGUAACGCGUAGGCAACCUGCCCCAUACAAAGGGAUAGCAUUUGGAAACGAAUAUUAAUACCUUAUGAAACUUAACUAGUGCAUGCUAGGUAGGUCAAAGAUUUAUCGGUAUGGGAUGGGCCUGCGUCUGAGUAGCUAGUUGGGGAGGUAACGGCUCACCAAGGCGACGAUCAGUAGCCGACGUGAGAGGGUGACCGGCCACGUUGGAACUGAGGCACGGUACAAACUCCUACGGGAGGCAGCAGUGGGGAAUAUUGCACAAUGGGGGAAACCCUGAUGCAGCAACGCCGCGUGAACGAGGAAGGCCUUUGGGUCGUAAAGUUCUGUUCUAGGUGAUGGAAACUGACAGUAACCUAGGAGAAAGCCCCGGCUAACUCCGUG